CCUACGGGGUGCUGCAGUGGGGAAUAUUGGACAAUGGGCGAAAGCCUGAUCCAGCCAUGCCGCGUGUGUGAAGAAGGCCUUCGGGUUGUAAAGCACUUUCAGUGGGGAAGAAAGCCUUGGGGCUAAUACCCUCGAGGAAGGACAUCACCCACAGAAGAAGCACCGGCUAACUCCGUGCCAGCAGCCGCGGUAAUACGGAGGGUGCGAGUGUUAAUCGGAAUUACUGGGCGUAAAGCGCGCGUAGGCGGUCUGAUAAGCCGGUUGUUAAAGCCCCGGGCUCAACCUGGGAACGGCAUCCGGAACUGUCAGGCUAGGGUGCAGGAGAGGAAGGUAGAAUUCCCGGUGUAGCGGUGAAAUGCGUAGAGAUCGGGAGGAAUACCAGUGGCGAAGGCGGCCUUCUGGACUGACACUGACGCUGAGGUGCGAAAGCGUGGGUAGCAAACAGGAUUAGAUACCCCGGUAGUC
Molecule: ribosomal RNA, 465 nt
Filed under: Vreelandella stevensii
Lineage: Bacteria; Pseudomonadati; Pseudomonadota; Gammaproteobacteria; Oceanospirillales; Halomonadaceae
Description: partial 16S ribosomal RNA
Rfam family: Bacterial small subunit ribosomal RNA
Source: RNAcentral